Molecule: ribosomal RNA, 779 nt
Filed under: Lichenostigmatales sp.
Lineage: Eukaryota; Fungi; Ascomycota; Arthoniomycetes; Lichenostigmatales
Description: SSU rRNA
Rfam family: Eukaryotic small subunit ribosomal RNA
Source: RNAcentral
CAAAGAUUAAGCCAUGCAUGUCUAAGUAUAAGCAACUAUACUGUGAAACUGCGAAUGGCUCAUUAAAUCAGUUAUCGUUUAUUUGAUAGUACCUUACUACAUGGAUAACCGUGGUAAUUCUAGAGCUAAUACAUGCUAAAAACCCCGACUUCGGAAGGGGUGUAUUUAUUAGAUAAAAAACCAAUGCCCUUCGGGGCUCCUUGGUGAUUCAUAAUAACUUAACGAAUCGCAUGGCCUUGCGCCGGCGAUGGUUCAUUCAAAUUUCUGCCCUAUCAACUUUCGAUGGUAGGAUAGUGGCCUACCAUGGUAUCGACGGGUAACGGAGAAUUAGGGUUCGAUUCCGGAGAGGGAGCCUGAGAAACGGCUGCCACAUCCAAGGAAGGCAGCAGGCGCGCAAAUUACCCAAUCCCGACACGGGGAGGUAGUGACAAUAAAUACUGAUACAGGGCUCUUUUGGGUCUUGUAAUUGGAAUGAGUACAAUUUAAAUACCUUAACGAGGAACAAUUGGAGGGCAAGUCUGGUGCCAGCAGCCGCGGUAAUUCCAGCUCCAAUAGCGUAUAUUAAAGUUGUUGCAGUUAAAAAGCUCGUAGUUGAACCUUGGGCCUGGCUGGCCGGUCCGCCUCACCGCGUGUACUGGUUCGGCUGGGCCUUUCCUUCUGGGGAUCCGCAUGCCCUUCACUGGGUGUGUCGGGGAACCAGGACUUUUACUUUGAAAAAAUUAGAGUGUUCAAAGCAGGCAUAUGCUCGAAUACAUUAGCAUGGAAUAAUAGAAAUAGGA